This 11139-nucleotide long non-coding RNA is filed under the name Elaeis guineensis (African oil palm). Its description in RNAcentral is "long non-coding RNA (EGUI_LNC024906)". Lineage: Eukaryota; Viridiplantae; Streptophyta; Magnoliopsida; Arecales; Arecaceae. The record is from RNAcentral.
CAGCAGCGGCUUAUCUUUGCUGGUAAACAGCUGGAGGAUGGGCGCACGCUGGCAGACUACAACAUUCAAAAGGAAUCUACUCUUCAUUUGGUCCUCCGCCUUCGUGGUGGGAUGCAGAUCUUUGUGAAGACCCUCACUGGGAAGACCAUCACUCUAGAAGUGGAGAGCUCGGACACCAUCGAUAAUGUCAAGGCCAAGAUCCAAGAUAAGGAAGGUAUUCCUCCUGAUCAGCAAAGACUUAUUUUUGCUGGAAAGCAGCUUGAGGAUGGGCGUACUUUGGCGGACUAUAAUAUCCAGAAGGAGUCCACUCUUCAUCUUGUCCUCCGCCUUCGUGGUGGUGCUGCUGAGCUGUAAUGGGUGUUCAGGGUCUGCAUAAGUUUCAAAUCUGGUACUGGUGUCUCCUUUUGGCUUAGGAGAACACUUAAUGUUAAGUAGUUUGUGCUUUAUGUGUGAAUGCUCUAUCAGACUUAGGAUGCUUGUUUUACGCAUGUGUGAUUUGAAGUUUAGUUUGAAUGUUCUGCAAACCUGUAGGUUUAAAUCUGUAUAAUAAGGCAUGCUACGAUAUUUCGUAUGCUGACUUAAUGUGAUGCAUAAGUUGUUUUUAUUUUCUGAGCUUCCCAUGGCUGUCAAAUUUUGAAAUAAGGUGAUAACAUGGUGGCAGCUGGAUUACUGUCUAUUCAUUGCUUGAAGAACUGAGAACUGCUACUUGCCAUUCAACUGGUCAUUCAACUGGUCAUGGACAUUUGACCGUACUUGUUCUGUAUACAAGGUUGAAUGCUGAUGAACUCUUAGGCCUAAGACUCGCACAAUUUGGAUUACAUGUGAUAUGAUUAUGAUAUUUUACAGUUGUGGUCAGAUGCACUUUUCAUGAUGCGUGCUUGCCAUUGAACAGGUUGUUUCGUGGUACAUGGAUACUCGGCAAAUGUAGAUGUAGUAUGGUUGAGCACAAUCCUGGGUGAAGAUUGCAGACGCAAGCAAAAAAUUAAAGAGAGUUGGUAAUUCAUACAUUUGUCGGAAGUUCAUCAAUACAGAAGAAGAGUGGUUCUAUGAGCUUUAGGUUCUUGACUGAUGUACCGGAUGAUCUUAACAUCAUCAAACUGCAACCAGGACAUCUCGAGCCUGCUCUGUGCCAUGAUCCAUCCUUCAUAUCCAAUACAGGUAGCUUAGUUGGCCGUGAGAGCUUCAAUGUCUCUGCAAUGAUCCAUGCUUCAAAUGAGAGAUAUGUAACUUGGUUUACCGUGAGAGCUUCAAUGUUCAACUUCUGUUGUGAGAUAUGAAGAGCAUCGUUCAGGAUAUUUGUAACUUCGUUUGGUUUAUGUGCCCGAGUCUGCUGAUAAUGUUAAUGGCUUGCUGUUGCUGGCCCUUCACAGGCUCCCAAAUGCAUAAACAUGUCUCAAACCCAGAAGUUCUGUAUUCUGUUACAACCUCCAUGUAUGGAAUGGAGAGGCAAAAAAUAAAAGAUAUGUUUCUCUUAAAAAAUGUAAUAAAUCUGUAGAUCUGACCUUGUGGUAGUCAUCUAUCCAUCACCAUUCUCUCUCACUAUACUGGCAGUCUGGCAUACUUAUUCCAGUUUGCAUUAAAAUUUCAAAUGACAAACAAUUGUUCGAGAAACGAACUGCUGGGUUUUCAUGGCUGCUAGAGGUCUGAGCCCACCAGAAACCCAAUUGGAUUCCAUUGCUGGGGGCUAGCGUUCCAUUGUGAGGCUUGUAUGCUGGCUGCCGGCUACCAGGAUCGGUGGUUUUCACCCGGUCUGAAGGAACCAUGCAAGUAAUCACCAUAGACCAUACAAAAUUUCCUUGUUCCAGCUAUGUGCUAUUUUGCUUGGUCUAGUACAGUGUCCAGUUCUGUGUAGAUUAACUAGGAUGUGGUCUUGGAAAGAAGAAACCACCUUCUUAGUUCGGUGGUGGCAUCCCAAGCGCGCGCACACACACACACACACACACACACACACACACACACAUAUAUAUAUAUAUAUAUAUAUAUAUAUAUAUAUAUAUAUAUAUAUAUAUAUAUAUAUAUAUAUAUAUAUAUAUAGUAUAUUAUAUAUAUAUAAUAAGUAAAGUAAAAGUAAAGAAAGUAAANNNNNNNNNNNNNNNNNNNNCUGUUUCCCAGUCCCUCCCAUUCCACUGAUGGCCAUGCUUCUUUGAAGUCCAGCUCUCAGUUCCGAUUCUGCUCCUGAAUCUCUAUAUCUUGUCCUCCAACCCAAUUAAUUCCUUUGAAGUCUCUUCUCAUAUUCAUCAUCCAUCUCCUUCCUCCACUGUUCUGUUACCUUCUCCCUUGCCUGUGUUUCAGCCUGUUCCAUGGCCUGCGGCAGGGACUGCCUCGGCUUGUUUGGGACUAUAUAUUUCCCUGAGUUCUUGCCGCAGUCCAUCAACAUAUUAAGAAGUUACUAACAAACGACACCCAAACUGAACAAUAAUAUGUCAAAGCCAAAGAAUGCAGUUAACAUUAAUCAAAAGCUGAUGGGGAAUUAUCAGCCAUAACACUACUGAUUCUAUCACUUCACAAUUUGAGUUUUUUUUUUUGGUACAAGCGGAUGCUCACAACAUUCUAGUACAAGUACAUGCCAAAAAAUCAAAAAAUAAAAUGUCCUACAGAGCACGCGGACAUGUCUGACCUUAUCGUCGGUCCAGACAUUUGCUGUUUGCCUCUUGAAAAACAUAUUGAACAUACAUCGUAAUGAAAUCAUAUAGAAAAAUUCACAUACCAGAAAGAACAGAUAGGCCUCCAACUGCUCCAUGUCAUCUCGGAUCCAACUGAUGACGGUAGUAAAAUCUCCUUCAAUGAGUAUCCCCUUCACCCGAAGCCUCUGUCUGGCAUAGAUGAUGCUCCCCAGGCAGCUCGAAGCUCAAAAAGAUGUGAGCCCUCCACCGCCAGCAAUUUGGCAUUUGAACCCUGGAUGACAAAAUCAGCACCACCCCUAUCCUCCCCAACACUACCGUUAAAGUUAAACUUGACAUAUCCCCAAGGAAGGGGCUCUCAAGAAAUGAAAAAAAUCUCCAAGUCGCCGCAAAGAGCAGCAUGAGAGCCUCAAGAGUCGGAGACAUCAAGGAGCUGACUGAUAGCAUUGAAACGAUUGUACUCUAUGGUCAAAUGAAAGGCUCUCUCUAGCAUCUGGUGAACAUGCACCAUCUCAGCUUCGAAGAUCAAACUAUUCUUGAUAAUCCAAAUCUGAUGGCGACAUAUGCUAUUCUACCCCCCAGUUAUAGGUCGGCCCCUCAGUAGUACUCGUGCGGAUCGCAUACAGGAAAGAAUUCAGCCAAAGACCGCUACUCACCUCCCAUGACCCAUCCUCUUCUAAAUCAAUCUUGUCCGCGGACAGCGCAGGAGAAUAUUCUCCGUCGACUCAUCCUCCAACCCGUAUAACUGUCAAAGGAUGUGACUGACCAUCACGAUCUAUUUAAGUUAUAAACUAUCUGUUGUGUGCCAUUAGUAUACAUAUUGUUCAUCGUAGAAAUGACUACUGACCUCUCUCUAUAAAUAGAGGUAGGCAGGAGAUCCUAGAUAAGAAUUUUGAGCUUAUUUCAUAGUUUCCACUCUUUUAAUCACCAAUUCUCUCUUCUAUUAUUUUUUAAAUUUUAACUGACUUGAACAUCAAAAAAUCUUCCACUAGAAAAAUUCUGAUAAAAAAAUUUCUUUUUAAAAUUAGUGGCCAACCAAGGAGCUUUAAUUGCCAUAUUGACCACAGUCCACUACGGCCUAAUUUGACCUUAACAUGACUUCAUAAUUUAGCAGUAACAAUCCCUGUUGAUUGAAACUUUAGCAUCUACUCCAAGUUUCAGGGUUUCUUUAAUUUCCCAUUCCUAGCAAUUGCACACAUUAAUUCUCUAAUAUAGACACAGUUAUUUAGUAUACUAUUACAAAUAACCAUAUACAUAUUGAUACACGUGUGUAUAGGGACAAUAUAACCAUGUAUAGAGAGUACAAUUGUGUACAAGAACUAUUACCAUGAUAAUGGUCAAAAAAAUCAUAUUUUAAAGUCCCAUCAAAUUUGGCCCGAAUCGAAUAUUCUCCAAUAGGAAUUGGGGCUCUAUAAUCACACCCAGAAGAGGUAGAUGUGUCGGAUCGAUCCUUUCCAACUCUCAACUUUUUAACAAAAAAAAAAAUUCUAUCAAAGAAAAGAAUGGGUGCUAGAUUUCUCAAAAACUUAUUGUCUUUUUUCUUCUUCUUUCUACUUAAGAGGAAGAAAUUCAUUUUAUUAACAGAAGAACAAAAUAUCACUUACUAAAUAAUAAAAAAAAAAGAAGAAAGAAAGUCCCCGGAUGACAUACAAGCAAUUGAAUAAAAUCAUGCAAUAUCACAACCAUAGUAAACUUCUUGAAUACCAUGCAAUAUCACAGCCAUAAUUGCUGAUUGUCUGUCAUAUAGCUAAACCAUCUGAUAAGAUAUUAAAAUAUAAUUAAUACUAAUUAGAUAUUAGAAUUGUUGCAAAAUUUAAUUUAAUUUGAUUUUUUUUUCUAUGUGCUAAUAGAUCUCUUCUAUAAAUAACAGUUGUUUUAUUGUUUUUAAUAUUUUUUUUAAUUUUUCAUAAUUCUUUACUUUUUAAUCUAGCCUGGAAUAACAUAACAGUUACAUUUAUAAUUUGGCCCAUCGAUAUGCUAGUCUCAACCAACUUGCGGACCCGAUUAGAGUUUGCCAUGGUGUCUCCAAAACUGCCCAACAAGAGCCCACACAACCAGCCUGGAUUGCAACUCCUAAGCCCACUCUUCUCCAUAUUUUACCUGGGAUCAGCUGCACCCAAAACCUAGUCUAAGGAAUAAUUCUUUGUACAUUGUAUGCAGUGUAGAAAAAAUACACCGUCUCACUUGAUUGGAUCACAUAACCAUCAUUUUCUAAUGUGUAUUUAAUAUCUGUAAUUCCACUUUUUGGUUUGAAAUUUUAAAUGAUAAAAAUAUUCUUUUUUUUAAAAAAAAUUAUGACAUCUUGUGGUCAUAUUAUGACAUCCUGCUGUCAAAUUAUGACUUCAUAUUCAUAAUUUAGCCACAGAAUGUCAUAAAAAAUAAAAGAUAUUUUUAUUAUUUAAAAAAUUUUAAAUUUUAAAUGACGAAAAUAUUUUUUCCUCUUUGUAACUUCGAAAAAAAAUUAUGUCUUCCUGUACGCAGGAAGUCAUAAUUUGAUCGAAAGAUAUCAUAAUAUGUCACAGAAUGUUAUAAUUUUUUCAAAAUAUGAGAGAUAUUUUUAUCAUUCAAAAUUUUAAAUAAAAAAAGUAGAACUGCAGACAUUAAAUAUACUAUUAAAUACAUGUUGAAAAACAGUGGCUAUGUAGUCCGAGAUGAUCGGAUGGUGCGCUUAGGGGUGCCAAAAUAUGAUUCGAUCCACCAAUUUGAUCUGCAUUCGAUCCGCCAUAAACAAAUUUGAAUUUGACUUAAACGGAUUUAGAUCAUAGAUGGACCGACCUGUUUCACUCAUUUAUUAAACAGACAGGGUUUGAGUUUAAAUUUCUCAACCUAUCCAAACUGUUUAUGAUUUUUAUUUAAAUUUAUUUGGGCCUGUGGCCCCACGGGCUUCUGGUAAAAUUUAAGCAGUCCGCCUAAAUUUUGGUCCAUUCCCACGGUGAUCCAUGUUUUCUAUUUUUUUUUCCAUCGCCCUCCUUUUCCUCUUCUGUCUCUUCAAAAUCCUAAGUUCUCACCUCCUCACCCUCCCAACCACCGCCUCAGCCUCUCCAAACCCCUCCAACCCCAAUCCCACUCCCUCCUCUCUCACCAAAAUCCCGUCUACUUCUCGAUUGCCCUGACAGAGAAGGCCAUCAGGCGGGUGGCAUCGAGGGCCCAAGCGAGGCCGACGAGGAUCCGAUGGGCGACGAUACCCACGAGGGCAAGAACAAUGCCCAAUGGGCUAGGAAUCAAACACAGGGCUCUGGAAAGUGCCCAUGUGACACCAUCGAAGAGAGCUAGACGGUGACGAGCGUGAUGACGGCAACGGUGAUGACCGAAGAGAGGAUGAUUUUCAGAAUAAUCGGAGAGUCGAAAGAUCUGCAGCUUCAUGGCUGCCUGGGUGCUGCUCCCCUCCUUUAGCCAUGCCCUCACGAGCUGCGGUAGAUGCUCUCCGACACCGCCUAAACGAGCUCGCGACUACGAUCGGGACAGGAAUUUAGAGCUCUCCGUCUGAACGAGCUCGCGGCAAAGGUGAGAAACCCACUCGUCCUCUUCGUCUCUUUGUUGUCCUUUCCGAUCAUUGCUAGAUUUUUUUUUAAAAAAAUAUAAAUAAGCAAGGGUAGAGCAAAUAGGGGUCGGACGGAGGGGCGAGCGUGUGGCAAGGGCAGAGGGGCGGGCUGUGGUCGGACUGAGAGCAUGACGAACAGUAGAGAUCGAAGAUAGAGGUGAGAAACAGAUUUUUAUUUUUUUAUUAUUUUAAAUAGAUCAUAAAUAAAUUUUUUUAAAAUUAAAUUAUAAAUAUAAAUAUAUUAAAUAUAUCGAAUCAAAUAAUUUAUUUAUUAAAUGAAUCGGAUUCAAAUUUUAAUAUCUAAUUUAUUUAAUAAAUAAAUUAAAUUUAAAUAUUUUUAAUUUAAUUUAUAUUUGACUCAAUCUAUCUAAUUAUCACCCCCAAGUGCAUUCCAUGUUAUGUUUAUUAUACCGUACGCGGUGCACAAAGGCUUUCUCCCUGAUCUAAAUCAGAGUGGGGUUUAAAUUUAGACCCAAUCCAACCAAGUACCUCUCGUGGGUCCAAAGCCUGCCUCGUUAAUUUGACCCACCACUCUGGAAACCGGUGGGAAGAAUCCUAUCCUUUUCCACCCACCACCCGUUUUCUCCCUCCCCGGCUCUAUAAAUUGAGACCGACCCUCGGCCCUCUUCUCCAUCCACAAAAGCGAAUUCUUUUCGUUCCCCUUCGAUUCUCUUCCGUCUCCUCCCAUCUCUCUCUGAAGGUAUUCCUCGUCUCUUUGUCGUAUUAAGUUUUCUGAUUAGUAUGGUAUGGUACUCGGUGUAUGGUUUUGGAUGCUGAAUUAGGGCUUUUUUUGUCCCCUAUGAUCCGUAUCGAUUUGGUGCUAUUGGAUUAUUGUUUUGAUCGAUCUUUGAAGAGAAGAUCGUUGCGUGUUGUCCUCUUUUCGCUCUUAUUCGAUUUUAUGUUUUUGUGUUCGUAAGUUGAAUCUAGGGUUUCGAUGCCUUCUGGAACCUUGGAUGAUUAUUAAUGCGGUUCGUGGCGUGUUGGCAUCUAGGGUUUGGACAAUUAAUUAUUUCCAGGAUCAGUCUUUUUUUUAAUCUUCUUGUUUGUUUGUGUGUGUGUUGGGAUCUGGCCCAUGAUCGAUUCAUAUGUAUGAUGCUAUGAUCGUGAACUGAUUGAAUCUAGGGUUUUGAUUAUCAUAAAAUUCCUAGGGCCAUGAUCGUUUCUAGGGUUUUAUAUCAUCUUCUGAUUCAAAUGUUGGUUGAUAUCCUUUCUUCCCCUUUUUGAACAGCUCUUUGAUCUAUAGAACCUUGAUGCGAUUGGCUCCUAAUUUGAUCGAUGUUUGAAUGAAGGAUUAUGGAUUUUUAUUGUGUAUUCUUUAUAGUUCUUUUGUAUGUUUUCUGAUGGAAUCUAAGUUUUAAGUGAUCCAAUUGUUUUUUUGGAUUUUAGUAGUUCUUGGAUCUAUAUGAUUGCUUGUGGCUUAGAGAUCUAUCAUCACGUCAUGAGUUUCACUCUAUUUGGAACUGUGGCUAGGAUAUUUUUGCAGUAUAAGCGUACAAAUAGGUUUCUUUGAUUUGCUCUAAUCUUAUUUUCUUUCUCUUAUAUGUAUAAUUGCUAUCUGCUUAUGUUUCAACCAGUUUUUGGAGUCGAGAUUGUUGGUAGUGUAAGUCUAAUCAUUGAGUCUGUUCUUUGUCUUUUUUUUUCAUUUCUAUUCCUGUUCUUUGAUUUUUAUCAAACCUAUCUUUUACUAAUAAUAGUGGACAAUGACCUUAUUGAUAGUGGUAGGUAUCUAUAUGUUUUCUGGAGAACCUAAGGUUUGAAACAUUGUGCUUACCAUUUAAGAGAUUUAUUCUUUUUAGUUUUAUAUGGUUGCUCAUUUUCAGAUUAAGUCUUGACUGAUAGGGUUUGUAAUUAUGUCUAAUGUUCGAUCACUUGGUAUCUUUUUGGUGGAUUGAUAAUCAUUUUUUGUAGAUAUUUUGUUAGCAAUACUUUUGAAGGAUGCCAAACAGAGUAUUUUACAUAUUUGAUAAUUAAUAUGCUUAUUAUUUAACAUUACUUUUAUAUGCACAAUUCAUCAUGUUUGUCAAUUCUGUCCUUUUCUUGCUUUAUGCGUUGACUAAUGCUUAAAGAUUCCAAGGUUGUAAUCAAGUGUUAGUGAUGUGAUUCUGUUUACUUCUUGUCCAUUGAUCGUGUUACUAUUAUCUAAUCUUGUGUCCCAAUGCUAAAUUUGUCCAUGUCCCAACGAUCUCAACCGUAUGUUUUAAUCCUUUUAUGGGCAUAUACUUUCUGAUUAGCCUUCUGCUGAGGUUCUUAUACUCAUAUAUCUUCAUAAUUUCCAUCGGCAAGCAGAACUGAUUUAGAGCCAAGAUCUCAGGUCAUGAUGAAAUACUGAAGUUUUUAUCCUUUUUUGCAGUUGGAUGAUCUGUUUGUCUUGAUAGAUUAACUGAUUAUAUAUAUAACACCAGAAAUAUCAGGCACUGCUAGGGAUAUUGGCUAGCUAUUUAUGUAUUUAAUAUGUAGGGGAUUAGUCUACAGAAAUAUUAACAAUGAACAGCAAGAUAAUAGUUUAUGUUGACACAUACUGGUAUCUUGGAUAAGAUCUCAGCCUGAAAGAAAACCUUGGCCAAUGCUCAUCACCACAAAAAAGGGGAAAAAAUUCUGAGGACACCUGCUAAUUCUUAGGUUUAGGUUGGCAUCUAUUUGUAAUAUACUUUAGAAUUCCUUGUUGUUGUUCAGUGCACUGCAUGAUGAUCUCGUUUGGUUUUUUAGGCUAAAAGCUCCAUAUUUUAUAUUUUAAUAUCAGAAACAACUUAUCAAGAAAAAUGACACCACCCCUCCCCACCACCACACAACCAAAAAAAAAAAAAGAAAAAAGAAAAGAGGAGCAAAUUUUGUGUUGUUGCUUAUAGAUCAUAAGUUCUUCUUCCUUUUAGAUGUCCGCUUGCAGCCAAUUUUUUAUUUUCUCCACUGGUUGUUUUAUGAAACUACUACCAAAUCAAUAAUUGGAAGUAGUGUUUCCAACUUUGUUAUUUGUUUUAGUUUACUCUUGUUUAUGUAAACUGGGGCUUUUCCUAGUGGUUACACCCCUUCACUUAUACCAUCAAGGAUUUUGAUUUGGAGUAUUGGAUGAUGCAUCUCCAAGAAUUUGGACUUCGAUGGUUAUGGUCUGGGGGUUUGUUCCUUCCUCUCUCAGAAUGAGGGGAAAAACUUUUUUUUUUCUAUGCUUUAAUUUCCAAUGUAUGUUACAUAGUUGCAUCUGAUGCAAACUGUUGUUUUAGAGUAAAGUUUUAAAAGACUAAUGCAUAAAUUAUCCUUGUUGAAAUAUGAAUGGGCAUCUUGGAAGGAGAAAGAUUCUUAUAUCUAAUUGUACGUCUUCUAGUAGUUAUUUACUUGGUUGUUUUGUUUAAUGAAGAUAUUUGUUAUUUUAGUGUCACAUUGACUGGUUUCUUCAAGCCUUAUUGAAUUGUUAAGUUUUCCUUAUCUUUCUUUCUUUCCCCCCACAGAUGCAGAUCUUUGUUAAGACUCUCACUGGCAAGACCAUCACCCUUGAAGUUGAGAGCUCGGACACCAUUGAUAAUGUGAAGGCCAAGAUCCAGGAUAAGGAGGGCAUCCCCCCUGACCAGCAGAGGCUCAUCUUUGCUGGCAAACAACUUGAGGAUGGCCGCACUUUGGCUGACUACAACAUCCAGAAAGAGUCAACACUCCACCUUGUCUUGCGGCUCAGGGGUGGCAUGCAGAUCUUUGUGAAGACCCUUACUGGCAAGACCAUCACCCUGGAAGUUGAGAGCUCUGACACAAUUGAUAAUGUGAAGGCUAAGAUUCAGGACAAGGAGGGCAUCCCCCCUGACCAGCAGAGGCUCAUUUUUGCUGGCAAACAACUUGAGGAUGGCCGAACUUUGGCUGACUACAAUAUCCAGAAAGAGUCAACACUCCACCUUGUUCUACGGCUCAGGGGUGGCAUGCAGAUCUUUGUGAAGACCCUUACUGGCAAGACGAUCACCCUGGAAGUUGAGAGCUCUGACACAAUUGAUAAUGUGAAGGCUAAGAUUCAGGACAAGGAGGGCAUUCCCCCAGAUCAGCAGAGGCUCAUCUUUGCUGGAAAACAACUGGAGGAUGGCCGCACUUUGGCCGACUACAACAUCCAAAAAGAGUCGACACUCCACCUUGUCCUGCGACUCAGGGGUGGCAUGCAGAUCUUUGUUAAGACUCUCACUGGCAAGACUAUUACCCUGGAAGUUGAGAGCUCGGACACCAUUGAUAAUGUUAAGGCCAAGAUCCAGGAUAAGGAGGGCAUCCCCCCUGACCAGCAGAGGCUCAUUUUUGCUGGCAAACAACUUGAGGAUGGUCGCACUUUGGCUGACUACAAUAUCCAGNNNNNNNNNNNNNNNNNNNNNNNNNNNNNNNNNNNNNNNNNNNNNNNNNNNNNNNNNNNNNNNNNNNNNNNNNNNNNNNNNNNNNNNNNNNNNNNNNNNNNNNNNNNNNNNNNNNNNNNNNNNNNNNNNNNNNNNNNNNNNNNNNNNNNNNNNNNNNNNNNNNNNNNNNNNNNNNNNNNNNNNNNNNNNNNNNNNNNNNNNNNNNNNNNNNNNNNNNNNNNNNNNNNNNNNNNNNNNNNNNNNNNNNNNNNNNNNNNNNNNNNNNNNNNNNNNNNNNNNNNNNNNNNNNNNNNNNNNNNNNNNNNNNNNNNNNNNNNNUAAGGAGGGCAUUCCCCCGGACCAGCAGAGGCUUAUCUUUGCUGGCAAGCAGCUUGAGGAUGGCCGUACAUUGGCUGAUUACAACAUUCAGAAGGAAUCCACUCUCCACUUGGUCCUCCGGCUUCGUGGUGGCAUGCAGAUCUUUGUGAAGACUCUUACCGGAAAGACCAUCACCCUUGAGGUAGAGAGCUCCGACACCAUUGACAAUGUAAAGGCUAAGAUCCAGGAUAAGGAGGGCAUCCCACCAGAUCAGCAGCGUCUCAUCUUUGCUGGUAAACAGCUGGAGGAUGGGCGCACACUGGCAGACUACAACAUUCAAAAGGAAUCUACUCUUCAUUUGGUCCUCCGC